CAGAGAUGCUGCUCAGCAUUUGUGCAUCAUGAGAGUGGCAUGUGACUGUACUGGUAGAUGGCAGAGAGAAUAAGGACCUACUAUCACAGAGGAGACUCUGCUGCAAAGAGAGUAUACUGCUGCAAGUAUUGCCAUCCUUGGGUUUCUCCACUGCAACUCAGAGAGUCCUGGGGCCCCUGUACCUCUCCUACUUUGGGGACACUGGCAGAAUAAAGGUGGUGAGUAAAGAACAAAUGUGUUCUUAUUGUUUAAGAAAGAUUCCUGAAUAUGCAAGGUUUUCUUUCUAGUAAGUAGGGAGUUAAUUCAUAAUUGCUGUUCUGCUUUGCUCUAAUUGUUUGAGGUUAUUUCUAUCAAGAGUCAUAGUGAUUUUGUACCUGGUAACACCAUAAAAGUGUGGCCAUGCAUAAUUCUUACCUAAUUGUGUUUCAAGGCUAUAUCUCAUUACGAUUAAUUAACAUGCUUUUUGGGCAAGAAGGAAAAUGUUUUAUUUAAUAAUACAGUAAACAAACUACCAACAUAGCAAUGUUUAGUGAACCGUCAGUGGAAGUAGUUGUUUUCAGAUUCAAAAGUAUCACACCUAAGUAAUUAUUUUCAGGAGCAAUCUUUUUAUUCCUAUCUUGCUUUGUA
Molecule: long non-coding RNA, 627 nt
Filed under: Chloebia gouldiae (Gouldian finch)
Lineage: Eukaryota; Metazoa; Chordata; Aves; Passeriformes; Passeridae
Description: Erythrura gouldiae (Gouldian finch) lncRNA (ENSEGOG00005014364.1)
Source: RNAcentral